GGAUUAGAUACCCUGGUAGUCCACGCCGUAAACGAUGUCUACUAGCCGUUGGGGAACUUAGAUUUCUUAGUGGCGCAGCUAACGCACUAAGUAGACCGCCUGGGGAGUACGGCCGCAAGGUUAAAACUCAAAUGAAUUGACGGGGGCCCGCACAAGCGGUGGAGCAUGUGGUUUAAUUCGAUGCAACGCGAAGAACCUUACCAGGCCUUGACAUCCAGAGAAUCCUACAGAGACGUGGGAGUGCCUUCGGGAAUUCUGUGACAGGUGCUGCAUGGCUGUCGUCAGCUCGUGCCG
RNAcentral lists this ribosomal RNA (294 nucleotides) under uncultured bacterium. RNAcentral's name for it is "partial 16S ribosomal RNA". It matches the Rfam family "Bacterial small subunit ribosomal RNA", at positions 775 to 1067 of the family's 1533-position model. The record is from RNAcentral.